CAAACGGUUCUUUUCAGAACCAUCGAAAAU
Aedes albopictus (Asian tiger mosquito) is the source of this 30-nucleotide non-coding RNA. The record is from Rfam. NCBI's taxonomy places the organism in Eukaryota, Metazoa, Arthropoda, Insecta, Diptera, Culicidae.